RNAcentral lists this ribosomal RNA (911 nucleotides) under Macaca radiata (bonnet macaque). Its description in RNAcentral is "partial 16S ribosomal RNA". The stretch from base 151 to 911 matches the Rfam family "Bacterial large subunit ribosomal RNA", at positions 566 to 1898 of the family's 2925-position model. The record is from RNAcentral. Lineage: Eukaryota; Metazoa; Chordata; Mammalia; Primates; Cercopithecidae.
GCUAAUACUAGCCCUAAGCAUCACCAAUACUAAUACCAAGCCAACGCACACUAAACCAUUCACCCGCACAAAGUAUAGGCGAUAGAAAUUUUAACCUGGCGCUAUAGACAUAGUACCGUAAGGGAAAGAUACAAAACCACCCAAGCACAAAACAGCAAGGGCUAACUCCUGUACCUUUCGCAUAAUGGAUUAGCUAGAGAUAAUUUCACAAAGAGAACUACAAGCCAAAUUCCCCGAAACCAGACGAGCUACCCAAGAACAGCUAAAAGAGCGCACCCAUCCAUGUGGCAAAAUGGUGGGAAGAUUUUUGGGUAGAGGUGACAAGCCUACCGAGCCUGGUGAUAGCUGGUUAUCCAAGACAGAAUCUUAGUUCAACCUUAAGCUUACCUACAGAACUACCUAAUCCCCCUGUAAGCUUAAUUGCUAGUCUAAAGAGGGACAGCUCUUUAGACACUAGGAAAAAACCUUAUAGAGAGAGUAAAACCCCCUAACUGCCAUAGUUGGCCUAAAAGCAGCCAUCAAUUAAGAAAGCGUUCAAGCUCAACACUGACCACCUUAAAAAUACCAAACACAUAACUGAACUCCUCACACCACAUUGGAUUAAUCUAUCACCAUAUAGAAGCAAUAAUGCUAGUAUAAGUAACAUGAAUAUUUUCUCCACUGCAUAAGCCUAAAUCGGACCGAAAACCUCACCGAUACCUAACAGCCAGGCAUAGCAAGCACAAACAAGCCCAUGCCUACCUUCACUGUUAACCCAACACAGGCAUGCCUCAAGGAAAGGUUAAAAAAAGUAAAAGGAACUCGGCAAACUCAGACCCCGCCUGUUUACCAAAAACAUCACCUCUAGCAUUACCAGUAUUAGAGGCACUGCCUGCCCAGUGACACACGUUUAACGGCCGCGGUACCCUGAC